UUCCGGUUGAUCCCGCCGGAGGCCACUGCUAUUGGGAUCCGACUAAGCCAUGCGAGUCGAGAGGGUUCGGCCCUCGGCAGACUGCUCAGUAACACGUGGAUAACCUACCCUCAGGCGGAGAAUAACCUCGGGAAACUGAGAAUAAUACUCCAUAGAUCUAGGAUGCUGGAAUGCGCCUAGAUUGAAAGCUCUGGCACCUAAGGAUGGGUCUGCGGACUAUCAGGUUGUAGUCAGGGUAAAGACCUGACUAGCCUACGACGGAUAUGGGUUGUGAGAGCAAUAGCCCAGAGACGAUAUCUGAGACACGAUAUCGGGCCCUACGGGGCGCAGCAGGCGCGAAAUCUUCACAAUGUGCGAAAGCACGAUGAGGGGAUCCCAAGUGCUGGCACGUAAGUGUCAGCUGUUUCUUUGUCUAAAAAACAAAGAGAGUAAGAGCUGGGUAAGACGGGUGCCAGCCGCCGCGGUAAUACCUGCAGCUCAAGUGGUGGCCGCUAUUAUUGGGCCUAAAACGUCCGUAGCCGGUUUAGUAAAUGCUUGGGUAAAUUGUGUAGCUUAACUAUACGAAUACCGGGUAGACUGCUAAACUUGGGACCGGGAGAGGCUAGAGGUACUCCUAGGGUAGAGGUGAAAUUCUGUAAUCCUAGGGGGACCACCAGUGGCGAAGGCGUCUAGCUAGAACGGGUCUGACGGUGAGGGACGAAGCCCUGGGGCGCAAACCGGAUUAGAUACCCGGGUAGUCCAGGGUGUAAACGCUGCUUGCUUGAUGUUAGUUGGGCUCCGAGCCCAACUAGUGUCGGAGAGAAUUUGUUAAGCAAGCUGCCUGGGAAGUACGGUCGCAAGACUGAAACUUAAAGGAUUUGCGGGGGGAGCACAGCAACGGGUGGAGCGUGCGGUUUAUUGGAUUCAACGCCGAA
This 914-nucleotide ribosomal RNA is filed under the name uncultured archaeon. RNAcentral's name for it is "bacterial SSU rRNA". It matches the Rfam family "Archaeal small subunit ribosomal RNA", at positions 1 to 922 of the family's 1478-position model. The record is from RNAcentral.